Astatotilapia calliptera (eastern happy) is the source of this 3101-nucleotide long non-coding RNA. The record is from Ensembl. Lineage: Eukaryota; Metazoa; Chordata; Actinopteri; Cichliformes; Cichlidae.
CUAUAAUUUCAAUUUUUCUUGAUGCAUAAAGUUAAAAGAUUAAAACUAAUAAAACAAGUUUGAAAAAGAGACUUUUUUCAUCAUACUGGUUCGUGUAAUUUGAAAGAAUCUUAGUUUUCAUUUUGUUCAAAUUUAAAGAGGUUCUGGAAUUUGGGUUGCAUAUCUGUUGUGUUAUAUACAAUUCCCAAUGACAAAACCUUUUCAUACUUGUGUUUUUUAGUAAAUGUGUAGUCCAGAUUUGUAAGUAUUGAGGAACGUACAAUUAUCCUAUAUAAGCCACUUAAGGACAGCUACUCAUCUCUAUUUUUUAUGAUGUAGAAACCUUCUGAUAUUUAUAAUUAACUUACAUGAACAAACAUAUCUGUUUAUGAAUAACAGGUACGCGGAGGUUUCUGAACAUAUUGUUGUAAUAAGACAAAAGUAUGCAUUAUCCACUGUUCUUCAGGAGUCAGUACUCAAAGUACAUCCAGUUCAGAACAGACUGUCCCAACUGCAGAAGAAGCAACUGUACAAGAGAAGGGAGCAAAUAAUGAAAAUACACCCAGCUCAGAGCAGACUACCAAACCAGCAGAAAAGGCACUUGUGCAAGAAAAGGGAGUCAGUAAUCAAAGUACAUCCAGCUCAGAACAGACUGUCCUACCUGCAGAAGAAGCAGCUGUACAAGAAAAGGGAGCCAGGAAUCACAGUACAUCCAUCUCAGAGCAGACUGACCGGCCAAGAGGAAAAGGACCUGGAAGAAACAAGGGUGUGCUUCAGAAAACUACAUCUAAUUCUGAAAUUGAGAGGGGCAGUGAUGCAAAGGAAGACAUCAUAUUUAACAUCAUUCUGCUGGGACAAACUGGGACUGGGAAGAGUGCGACUGCAAACACCAUCCUGGCUGCUGGGAAGCACCACAAGGACAAAGGCCAGGGUUUUGAAGCCAAGCCAAGCUCCAUACCAAUCACCACCAAGUGUAAGGACAAAAUAAUCGAGAUAUGUGGAACAAAAGUUAGACUGGUCGACACCCCAGACUUCUUUUAUGAAGAUAAACCUAUAGAGGAGGCACAAGUAGAAGAGUGUAAGAGGUACUGUCAGGAAGGGCAGUGUGUAGUGUUACUUGUGAUACAGUUGGGCAGGUUCACAGAUGGUGAAAUAGGAAUAUUAGAGAAACUGGAAGACAAGCUUGGCUGGAAAAUCAGGAAAAACACAAUUGUCCUAUUUACACAUGGAGAUGAUUUGAAAGGCACAGUGGAUCAGUUUAUCGGCAACAGGAGUUGUCUCAAGCACAUUGUGAAAUCUUGUAACAAUCGUUACCAUGUAUUCAAUAACAACUCCAAGGAUACUAAACAAGUCAGGGAGCUCUUUGAUAAAUUUCGUGAAGAAAGCUUUUUAAACUCAAAACCACAUUCACAGUGCCCUUUAUUCUAGCUACUGCUGAUUCAGGGGUGUGAAGUGCAAUUUUCUGCUGGCAUGUGAACUAAUUUUACAUUAAACCUAGAUAUCAUGAUUUGCCAUUUUGUUUCAUCUUGAAUAUUUAGCCAAACUGAAAGGACAUUAGUAAACAAUUUAUAAUUUUUCAUCAGACUGCCAAAGUUGGUGAUACAACCUCUAGCUCUUAUGUAUGUAUAUGAAAUAGUGCAGUCAGUUAUAAAGACUAACUUUAAAAGACUUAGAAACAUGCUGAGGAGAGCUUGCUGUGAAAUUAAAGUGGUUCCUAAGCAACAUACAGAUUAAAUGUUUAUGAAUAAAUUGAAUACAUUUUUGAUUUUAUUUACUUAUUUUUUUCUGUGACUGAUGUUUGGACAACACAAAAGACUUCAAACAGGAAAUGCAGUGAAAAAUAAAUUAUACAACACACUCACAUAGCCUUAACACAUGUUAAAGCUAUAAUAUAUUCUACUUAUUCCAUUACUGGCUCAUUAGUGUGUUCUCGAGUUUUUGCUGAAAUGCGCAUUGGGGAAGUGAAAACAAACUGAAAAAAUAGAAGCUUCAAACUUCUACUUUCCACUGUAUCAUCAUAUGAAAAGUUGCAGCUUUUUAUGUUUGGAGCCUGAUAAUUCAAAUUUCAUUAGAUCUGACUGUUAUCCCUUCCAUAUGGCGUGUAUUUAUAUAGCGCUUUUCUAGUCCCUAAGGACCCCAAAGCACUUUACAUAUCCAGUCAUCCACCCAUUCACACACACAUUCACACACUGGUGAUGGCAAGCUACAUUGUAGCCACAGCCACCCUGGGGCGCACUGACAGAGGCGAGGCUGCCGGACACUGGCGCCACCGAGCCCACUGACAACCAACCAGUAGGCAACGGGUGAAGUGUCUUGCCCAAGGACACAACGACCGAGACUGUCCAAGCUGGGGCUCGAACCGGCAACCUUCCAAUUACAAGGCGAACUCCCAACUCUUGAGCCACGAUCACCCCAAUAUCACAUCUACCUCAGUGCUUUUUCUCUAGCUCAGUGAAUUCCUCUCUAGUCCCUAAAUGGAUCUUUCAGGCCAAAGCCGCCUUCUAAAAAUGCAUGGGCAUCUGGUAUUCUAAUGAUAGCUUGUUUUACAAAACAAUAAAUGUACCAAUAGCAUACAGAAUAAAUAGGCUAAACACAAAUAAAAGUUAUUAUUCAGAGGACAAAGGUGACACGUGGCCGUUUGUAAUUUGCAGGUGUUUGUCAAUUUAAACAUACAUUCAGUUUCUCCUCUGAAUGUGCAAUGAAUGUAAUAUUGUAGAAAAAAAGUCAUCAAUAUAUACAUUAUCAUUUGGCAUUAAUUUUCUCACUGUUCUUUUUUUUUCUUGUUUCUGUGCAAUAAACUGCCACUGCUACCUGUACUCUUGCUCAUGAACACAUUCAUUUAUGAUUACUACUACCAUCAGUGAAAAGGUACUGUUAACCGUACUGCUUUAUUUUGCAAUGGACAUGUAACUGUGUAUGAAUAUUUUGCUAAAACUGUCAGAAGGAGUGCCUGAACUAGAAAAAAGAAUGUUUGCAAAAGUUAAUCAAACAUCACAUCAUCAGCUAGCUAUAAAAUAAUAGACCAUUAUUAGCCAACACUUUAAAGUCUUUGUUAUAUUUGUCAGAAAGCAAUGGUUGAAAUUAUGUUUUUUUACCUAAUAAAAAAUGUUGCAUAAACAGCU